Macadamia integrifolia is the source of this 453-nucleotide long non-coding RNA. RefSeq lists it as uncharacterized. The record is from RefSeq and is a predicted model, not a curated record. The transcript is spliced from 2 exons. NCBI's taxonomy places the organism in Eukaryota, Viridiplantae, Streptophyta, Magnoliopsida, Proteales, Proteaceae.
CCCUUCCUCUUCUUUCUUCUUCGUUUCUUCUUCGUUCAGGUUUGUGGAUGCUAGGGUUUAUGCUUCUCUCCGUCUCUGCUGGUUGAAUGUUUUGUAAAUAUAGAAACAAAAUUCUCUGCAGAUUGUUAGCAUUUCCAUUAGCUCUUUCUUGCAUUGGAAUGUUUUCUUGAAGCAAUUAAAGAAGUUAUUGCAAGGAUUAUCGGAAGUUUUUAGGGUUUCGGCAUGUUCUGGUGUGUUCUCUAGCUUGUUUUGUUCAAGAAUUGGCAUGUGUUCGGGAGGAUUUAGAGGUUCCUCAUUUGUUCAGCUGAGUAAUUUGGAUUCCAUUCAAGAAGAAAGCCAAAGACUGCUGCCAUUACCAAGAACUGUUUAGUGUUACUGCGAAUCAUGUUAAAUUUGGUUACUUCUUCCUCCAUUAUCAGAUAAUGAAGUCGGUCUUCCCAACUGUUUGAAGAA